Molecule: unclassified non-coding RNA, 297 nt
Organism: Prolemur simus (greater bamboo lemur)
Lineage: Eukaryota; Metazoa; Chordata; Mammalia; Primates; Lemuridae
Rfam family: Metazoan signal recognition particle RNA
About the family: The signal recognition particle (SRP) is a universally conserved ribonucleoprotein. It is involved in the co-translational targeting of proteins to membranes.
Source: Ensembl
GCCAGAUGCGGUGGCAUGCCUGUAGUCCCAGCUACUCGGGAGGCUGAGGUGGGAGGAUCACUUGAGCCCAGGAGUUCUGGACUGUAGUGUGCUAUGUCCACCGGGUGUCCACACUAAGUUCAGCAUCAAUAUGGUGACCUCCCAAGAGCAGGGGACCACCAGGUUGCCUAAGAAGGGGUGCACUAGCCGAGGUCAGAAACGGAAUAGGUCAAAACUCCCAUGCUGAACAGUAGUGGAAUCAUGCCUGUGAAUAGCCACUGCACUGCAGCCUGGGCAACAUAGCGAGACCCCGUCUCA